GUGAGGAAUAUUGGUCAAUGGGCGGGAGCCUGAACCAGCCAAGUCGCGUGAAGGAAGAAGGAUCUAUGGUUCGUAAACUUCUUUUGCAGGGGAAUAAAGUGCAGGACGUGUCCUGUUUUGUAUGUACCCUGAGAAUAAGGAUCGGCUAACUCCGUGCCAGCAGCCGCGGUAAUACGGAGGAUCCGAGCGUUAUCCGGAUUUAUUGGGUUUAAAGGGUGCGUAGGUGGUUUGAUAAGUCAGCGGUGAAAGUUUGCAGCUUAACUGUAAAAAUGCCGUUGAAACUGUCGGACUUGAGUGUAGAUGAGGUAGGCGGAAUGCGUGGUGUAGCGGUGAAAUGCAUAGAUAUCACGCAGAACUCCGAUUGCGAAGGCAGCUUACUAAGCUACAACUGACACUGAAGCACGAAAGCGUGGGGAUCAAACAGGAUUAGAAACCCGAGUAGUCC
Molecule: ribosomal RNA, 445 nt
Filed under: uncultured bacterium
Lineage: Bacteria
Description: partial 16S ribosomal RNA
Rfam family: Bacterial small subunit ribosomal RNA
Source: RNAcentral